RNAcentral lists this ribosomal RNA (433 nucleotides) under uncultured bacterium. RNAcentral describes it as "bacterial SSU rRNA". It matches the Rfam family "Bacterial small subunit ribosomal RNA", at positions 355 to 796 of the family's 1533-position model. The record is from RNAcentral.
UCGAGGAUCUUCGGCAAUGGGCGCAAGCCUGACCGAGCGACGCCGCGUGGACGAUGAAGGCCUUCGGGUUGUAAAGUCCUGUCGAGGGGGAGGAAAGCCGAAAGGUUUGACCUAUCCCUGGAGGAAGCACGGGCUAAGUUCGUGCCAGCAGCCGCGGUAAGACGAACCGUGCGAACGUUGUUCGGAAUCACUGGGCUUAAAGGGCGCGUAGGCGGCUUGCCAAGUCAGUGGUGAAAUCCUGCAGCUUAACUGUAGAAGUGCCUUUGAUACUGGCUAGCUCGAGGGAGGUAGGGGUCUGUGGAACUUCUGGUGGAGCGGUGAAAUGCGUUGAUAUCAGAAGGAACGCCGGUGGCGAAAGCGACGGACUGGACCUCUUCUGACGCUGAGGCGCGAAAGCUAGGGGAGCAAACGGGAUUAGAUACCCCCGUAGUCC